RNAcentral lists this ribosomal RNA (910 nucleotides) under uncultured Thermodesulfobacteriota bacterium. RNAcentral's name for it is "bacterial SSU rRNA". It matches the Rfam family "Bacterial small subunit ribosomal RNA", at positions 497 to 1398 of the family's 1533-position model. The record is from RNAcentral. Lineage: Bacteria; Pseudomonadati; Thermodesulfobacteriota.
CUAACUCCGUGCCAGCAGCCGCGGUAAUACGGAGGUGGCGAGCGUUGCUCGGAAUCACUGGGCGUAAAGGGGGCGUAGGCGGCCGGACAAGUCGGACGUGAAAGCCCGGGGCUCAACCCCGGAGUUGCGUUCGAAACUGUUUGGCUUGGGGUCCGGAGAGGCCGGCGGAAUUCCCGGUGUAGGGGUGAAAUCCGUAGAUAUCGGGAGGAACACCGGUGGCGAAGGCGGCCGGCUGGACGGCACCUGACGCUGAGGCCCGAAAGCGUGGGGAGCAAACCGGAUUAGAUACCCGGGUAGUCCACGCCGUAAACGAUGGGUGCUAGGUGUGGGGGGUUAAACCUUCCGUGCCGAAGCUAACGCAAUAAGCACCCCGCCUGGGGAGUACGGCCGCAAGGCUGAAACUCAAAGGAAUUGACGGGGGCCCGCACAAGCGGUGGAGCACGUGGUUUAAUUCGAUGCAAAGCGAAGAACCUUACCUGGGUUUGACAUGCUAGGGGACCUUCCAGAGAUGGGAGGGUGCCCGGGCUUAGCCUGGGAGCCCUAGCACAGGUGCUGCAUGGCUGUCGUCAGCUCGUGUCGUGAGAUGUUGGGUUAAGUCCCGCAACGAGCGCAACCCUCGCCCUUAGUUGCCAGCGGGUGAAGCCGGGCACUCUAGGGGGACUGCCGGGGACAACCCGGAGGAAGGAGGGGAUGACGUCAAGUCAUCAUGGCCCUUAUGCCCAGGGCUACACACGUGCUACAAUGGGCGGUACAGAGGGAAGCGAACCCGCGAGGGGGAGUAGAUCCCAGAAAGCCGUCCUCAGUUCGGAUCGGGGUCUGCAACUCGACCCCGUGAAGCCGGAAUCGCUAGUAACGGCGGAUCAGCAUGCCGCCGUGAAUACGUUCCCGGGCCUUGCACACACCGCCCGUC